UUCGUGGACCAUUUAAGGUCCUUUGUGGUCCAUCUAUGGGGCUGAGGACCUCCACGGACCAUCUGAGGUCCUUUGUGGUCCAUCUGAGGUCCUUCGUGGCCCAUCUAUGGGGUUGAGGACCUCCAUCUGUGGGGUUGGGGACCUCCAUGGACCAUCUGAGGUCCUUUGUGGCCCAUCUGAGGUCCUUUGUGGCCCAUCUGAGGUCCUUUGUGGCCCAUCUGAGGUCCUUCGUGGUCCAUCUGAGGUCCUUCGUGGUCCAUCUGAGG
This is a long non-coding RNA of Cuculus canorus (common cuckoo), 266 nucleotides long. RefSeq lists it as uncharacterized. The transcript has 3 exons. The record is from RefSeq and is a predicted model, not a curated record. NCBI's taxonomy places the organism in Eukaryota, Metazoa, Chordata, Aves, Cuculiformes, Cuculidae.